AAUAAUAAUUGUAAAACAACAGAGACCAAACUCAUAAGUAGUUUCAAACAUUUUUACCUGUUUUAUUACCAAAAGGAUUAAAUAGUUCAUUUUUUUUUUCCUUUUUAUGGCAGCACCUGCAGCAUAUGGAAGUUCUCAGGUCAAAGCAGAGCUGCAGCUGUGGCCUACGUCACAGACACAGAUUUGAGCUGCAUCUGUGACCUUACAGCAAUGCUUUCACUGAGCAAGGCCACGGAUCCGACCUGCAUCAUCACAGAGACAACACUGGGUCCUUAACCCACUGAACCCAAACAAAUCUUAAGAAGUUCAUUUGGAAAGAUUAAGGUAAUAAAUUCAUAGAUUUCUCUUCUCCUAAAAUCCUCUCUAAAACUGAAUGAAGAAUAGAAUCAGUGUGUUAUACAAUGUAAUUCUUUAAAGGAUGUCCAAAAAAAAAAAAAAAUGGGGGAGGAGUUCUCUUGUGGCUCAGUGGGUUAAGGAUCCAGUGUUGUCACUGCUGUGGUUUGGGUUUGAUCCCUGGCCUGGGAACUUUUGCAUGCCCCAGGUGUGGCCUAAAAAAUAAAUAAAAAUUUAGAAACAAUUAAAAAAAUUAAAAAGAUGUCGCACUAACAAAAAAACUAAAAGUUCCUAGAAAUACUAGGUAAAACUAAAUACAAUAAAAGUGGAAGAGAAAAUACUAGACAAAACUAAAAAGUACCCAGAAAAACAUGGGGCAAGACUAUUAAUUAAAAAAUUUUUAAAAUACUGAUUAAAGACAUGUACAACCUAAAUAAAUGGGAGAUGGAAGUUUACAGUCAUCAGGAAGCUGGGGUGGAGUUCCCCUUGUGGCUCAGCAGAAAUGAAUCUGACUAGGAACCAAGAGGAUGCAGGUUUGAUCCCUGGCCUUGCUCAGUGAAUUAAUGAUCCAGCACUGCCAUGAGCUGUGGUGUAGGUUGCAGACAAGGCUCGGAUCCUGCAUUACUGUGGCAUAGGCCAGCAGCUACAGCUUUGAUUUGACCCCCAGUCUGGGAACCUACGUAUGCUGCAGAUUUGGCCCUAAAAAUACAAAAAAAAAAAAGAAAUUAGACAAACAGGUCAAUGGUCAAGGGGAGACAGUUGAAAAAUAGAUUUGUAAACAUACAAAAGCAUAUUAGAUGAAAAAAUAACCUCGAAAAUCAGUGAGUAAAACAAUGACUUCAACAAAUUGUUCUGGAAUUCCCGUUGUGGCGCAGUGGUUAGCGAAUCCGACUAGGAACCAUGAGGUUGCGGGUUCGAUCCCUGCCCUUGGUCAGUGGGUUAAGGAUCCAGCGUUGCCCUGAGCUGUGGUGUAGGUUGCAGACAUGGCUUGGAUCCCGCGUUGCUGCAGCUCUGGUGUAGGCCGAUGGCUACAGCUUCGAUUCAACCCCUAGCCUGGGAACCUCCAUAUGCCGUGGGAAGCGGCCCUAGAAAAGGCAAAAAGACAAAAAAAUAAAAAUAAAAAAACAAAUUAAGAUAAUAUGGGGAAUGCAGCGGAAACAAAUCCGACUAAGAACCAUGAGGUUGCAGGUUCAAUCCCUGGCCUCACUCAGUGGGUUAAGGAUCCGACGUUGCCAUGAGCUGUGGAGUAGGUCACAGACACAGCUCGGAUCAGGUGUUGCUCUGGCUGUGGCGUAGGCCGGCGGCUACAGCUCCGAUUAGACCCCUAGCAGGGAACCUCCGUAUGCCGUGGGUACAGCUCUAAAAAGACUAAAUAAAUAAAUAAAUAAUAUAAAACAGAGGAUAUAUGCUGACAGGCAGUGGGAAAGGAAAAUGAGGCCAGAUCACCAAAGCUUGAAAAUCAAGUAAAAGUGGUUACAAUCUGAUGUGGAAGGACACAGGGACCACUGACAGUUUCUAAGCGUGAACAAAGCAAUUAACCUGAAUGAUUACUAUGGCAGCUGCAAGAGGCAAGAGAAACAAGGGUGUCAAGGAAAACAUACUAACUAGAGGCAACAACCUUGCUAUUCCACAGCUCAUCAGACUACAAUGAGCAUGCUAUGUUUAAAAAAAAAUUCAAAAACUAGAAUAUUCUUACAAGGGUGAUAGGCAUGAACCUGGAAUCAUAAAGAAUGGGCAUAUGAAAAAAAUGCUCAACGCCAUUAAUUUUUAGAGAAAUGCAAAUCAAAACUACAAUGAGAUACCACCUCACACCAGUCAGAAUGGCCACCAUUAAGAAGUCUACAAAUAACAAAUGCUGGUGAGGGUGUGGGGAAAAGGUACCCUCCUUCACUGCUGGUGGGAAUGUAAAUUCGUACAACCACAAUGGAAAACAGUCUGAAGGCACCUCAGAAAACUAAAUAUAGAACUCCUGUAUGAUUCAGCAAUCCCAGUGCUGCGUACAUAUCCAGACAAAACUUUCACUGAAAAAGAUACAUGCACCCGCAUGUUCAUCACAGCAUUAUUCACAACAGCCAAGACAUGGAAACAACCUAAAUAGCCAAUAACAGAUGAAUGGAUUAAGAAGAUGUGGUACAUACAUACAUACAAUGGAAAAUUACUCAGCCAUAAAAAAAGACAAACUAAUGCUAUCUGCAGCAUGGGUGGAACUAGAGAUUCUCAUACUAAGUCAGAAAGAGAAAGACAAAUACCAUAGGGUAUCAUUUAUUUGUGGAAUCUAAAAUAUGGAAGAGAUGAUUAUAUCUUAAAAAACAGAAACAGAUCAUAGCCAAGGAGAGCAGACUUGGGGUUCCCCGGCAGGGGGGAGUAGGAUGGAUGGGCAUUUGGGGGGUUUUUUGGAUACAAACUGGUAUAUUUGGAAUGGAUGGGCAAUGGGGCUCUAUUGUGCACAGCACAGGGAAACGUGUGUGAUUGGGUCACUUCGCUGUAAACAGAACUUGAAGAAACACUGUAAAUCAACUAUAUCUUAAUAAUAAUAAUAAAGAAAUGAGGCAAAGACCAGUUAAGUAACUUGCCCAAAAAUACACAGCAGGUAAAUAUAUGUGCCAGACACAUAGCAGGUAAAUGAUGUGGCGCAUGAAGGAGAGAAAUAAAUCAAAGAUUAUGUCAACAUUUCAAAUUUGAGAAAGCCAGGGCCGAGAAAGAAAGAAGCUAGGUGUAUGGUGCAGGGUAGAGAAAGAAGAGGUAAUGGGUCCCUCCGUGUUGGGUCUAAGACAGACAGAAGACAGGAGACGUUCGGUAGGCAGCUGAUGACAGAGAACUGCAAGCAGAGAAAAGGACUCACUGCAGUUUUGAAAGCUGUCAGCAAAGAGGUGAAGGUGGCAGCAUGCCAGGGAACACACCCCCUAAGGGAGCUAGAGAGAAGAGCAGAGAGUCAAGGACUGAGUCUUGAGAAACACCCAGAAACCAAAUGAAGGGAUAUGCAGCCCGUACAAACUGGAGUGAUGAGAUAGGGCCACUUCCCAACUGGUGCACCAAGAUACUGCUCCCCUGAGCUUUGGAGCAGCCAGCACCUAGGGCUGGGCACUUGCACUCUACACAGGUUCUUCCAUAAAAAUAAGUCUACGUGUGUUAUAAUAUGAAAGAAUGUUGGAAAGUACUUAGAUGCAGGAUCCAAGAGCCAAGGGAGAAGGGACUAAAGAGGAGGUGAUUAAGAGGACCAAGCGCUGCUACGCUGAGAGGUAAGAAAAGCAAUGCCAUUAGCUCAGGAACAGUACAACAAACAGUUACACAAGCCCCAAGCAGUGCCCAUCAUAGCUGGUUUCCCUUUAAAAGCUGCACAUGUGUCCUUACAACAUCUGUGGCUAAACCAUGCUGCAACUAAGGAAGUCACUGCAAUAAAAGGAAAGGGGAAAGAGGCAUUAGGACCACAGGAAUAAGUUUCGAUAUAGGGAUAAUGGGCAAGUAUUUUAAUCCAAGGAGAGAUGAACAAUGAAGAGAAUAUAUAAGCAGCACUAUCAGGUGCAGUGUUUUCAAAGAGUGUUCCAAGAAAUGACAACUGUAGGAAACACCCUGGAGGGUUCCCAACGGGUGGUGACAGUGCACCCUCCGAGACAUGUAACUUGUGACUAUCCCAUUACGUUCCUUCUGAGGAAAACUAGUCCCCAUUCCUGAGAAGAAACUAAAUCAGAGUUCAACUAAUUAUCUUGCAAAAGAGAAAGUGAAAAAUACCUAAAAACUUAUUGUCACUGUUUUAAGUUCUUUAAUGUAUUAUCUCAUUUUUAAUCCUCACAAUAAAACCAUGAAGUAAGCUCCCAUUUUCGGAUGUGGAAACUGAAGCACAGAGAAUUUAAAUAACUUGCCCAAGUUCCCACUGCUUAAAAAUGAUGGUUCAGGACUUUCCGUCAGUGGAUCAGUGGUUAAUGAACCCAACUAGUAUCCAUGAGGACGAGGGUUCAAUCCCUGGCCUUGCUCAGUGGGUUAAGGAUCCGGUGUUUCCAUGAGCUGUGGAGUAGGUCACAGACUGGCUCGGAUCCGCACUGCUGUGGCUAUGGUGUAGACUGGAAGCUACAGCUCCAAUUCGACCCCUAGCCUGGGAACCUCCAUAUACCACAGCCCUAAAAAGACCCAAAACAAAAAAAGAUGGUUCAAACCCAGGAGUCUGAUUUUUGAGUCUGAUCUCAUGGCAGCGUGGGAUCCUUAACCCACUGAGUGAGGCCAGAGAUCGAAGCCGCAACCUCAUGGUUCCUAGUCAGAUUCACCACUGAAUCUAUGGCUGAAAGCAAACAGAAAGACUUGCCCAAGUUCACUGAGCUACUGAAUCAUCUGACAGAGGUAGAAUCCAGGCACAGAUGCUAUCACUUCUUUCAACGAAUAGCAGUGAGGAGGUGGGAGAACUUCUGUGUUACUUAGGAGCUAGGAAUUUAAUGAAUAACUCUGAUUAAAGCUUCAGCAACUCUCCUUAGGUGCUAAGAAUUCUGAAUUUGCAAAUCAAUGACAUCCAUAUUUAUACAAAGCAAAAGUUUACUCCAAAACUAAAUAAGCUUGCUCUUCAAAAGCACCUACGAAGGGUAAAUGAAUCCAUGCCCUCCCAAUUAUCAAUGAGCUACAGCUGUAGGGCACUCCAUUAUAUCAUCUUGCACUUUGAGGCUGAUAUUGUUUUUAACCUGAGUGUUUCCUACAACUAUACGGCAGUAAUUAUUUCUAUUGACUCCUACGCUGAUACCCAGUGAGGACACUCAGAAACUUCCAGAAGCAGAGUUGUAGCCAUGUCUUGGUUAUGAACUUUAUGUUAAGGAUACUUUCUUUGGGCCUAAGAAUUAAAAAUCAAUUACUAUCUCAAAAAGGGCAGAGGGGCACUUUUUCUUUUUUAAUCCCUUUGAUAGAAAGUAUAACAUUUGGGAAAGUAUCUCAUUCCAAGAGCACUCUAUUUCCACUGGCCACUUGGAAGUGGAAUAAGAAUACCUGCCUCUUAUCAGAAUGAGCAUUUAAGCAUUAGGUUUUGAAGGCAAAAAAGCCUGGAAGAAAGACUUUCACUUGGAAAUUUGAUUGUCAAGUACUUCUGAAGCCUUCAACCAGGCAAUCUUUGAAACACACUGGGCUUUGCCAGAAAAUUCGUUUUUAACCGAAAUAAAGAGCCUUGAGAAACAAUUUGUUUACUCAUGGUAACACUCACUUCCCCCAGAAUGGACAUUUUGGAAAAAUUACUUGUACACCAGGGUCUGACUCAUGCCAGCAACCAGUCAUCCUCGGUCUGGAAGCUAUAAAAGAUCUGACGAGGACUCCCUAAGCCUCUAACUCUGAUGGUUUACUAAUUCUGAGUUUAUUCCCGGCCUUCCUGGCCCUCCUAAGUUCUCUACGAUGCCAACUAGCAGGGCUCUAAAUCGGGAAGAGGGUACGUGUCCAGGAAGAGCGAGGGCAGAAAAGUCACUAAGGACCCGGGGAACCUUAACAUGAGGACCACACUAAGCGGGGCUUUGAAAACGCAUGCUCUGACACCUCAAAAGUUUUAGAGACUUGAAUGGCGGCAGAAAAAAUACCGGCAAAAAGAUUUGGGCAAAGCAGAAACAAAACCCCACAAUCCACCCUGACAGGCGACGAGCGGGCUCGGGGGCUGAGGGGUCGGCGGGACUCUCGCCGAGGCCCCCGGGCCCAGGCCGGCACAGCAAAGUCUGGAGCCCCAAGGCCCUGGGCCAAGCCGCCAGCGCGCUAUUCGACAGCUCCACUCACCAGGAACUGGAGCAUGAUGUCCGCAAGGAGGGAGCGAUGGGCGGCUGCAACUCCGUGGGCCGGUCC
Molecule: long non-coding RNA, 6126 nt
Filed under: Sus scrofa (pig)
Lineage: Eukaryota; Metazoa; Chordata; Mammalia; Artiodactyla; Suidae
Description: lncRNA (ENSSSCG00030066074.1)
Source: RNAcentral